CCAUAGCCCCGAUAGGAACGGCAUCCUUUUUUGUCAUUGCGAUUGUUGAAACGUUCAAUGCUGUAUUAAUGUCGUUCGCAAUGGCAAAAAAGAUAUAGUGGAUAGCGGGAUCAAGC
This 116-nucleotide small RNA is filed under the name Epilithonimonas lactis. RNAcentral describes it as "Chryseobacterium halperniae Flavo-1 RNA". It matches the Rfam family "Flavo-1 RNA". Lineage: Bacteria; Pseudomonadati; Bacteroidota; Flavobacteriia; Flavobacteriales; Weeksellaceae. The record is from RNAcentral.